GACGAACGCUGGCGGCGUGCUUGACACAUGCAAGUCGAACGGAAAGGCCCUGCUUUUGUGGGGUGCUCGAGUGGCGAACGGGUGAGUAACACGUGAGUAACCUGCCCUUGACUUUGGGAUAACUUCAGGAAACUGGGGCUAAUACCGGAUAGGAGCUCCUGCUGCAUGGUGGGGGUUGGAAAGUUUCGGCGGUUGGGGAUGGACUCGCGGCUUAUCAGCUUGUUGGUGGGGUAGUGGCUUACCAAGGCUUUGACGGGUAGCCGGCCUGGGAGGGUGACCGGCCACAUUGGGACUGAGAUACGGCCCAGACUCCUACGGGAGGCAGCAGUGGGGAAUAUUGCACAAUGGGCGGAAGCCUGAUGCAGCAACGCCGCGUGCGGGAUGACGGCCUUCGGGUUGUAAACCGCUUUCGCCUGUGACGCAGCGUGAGUGACGGUAAUGGGUAAAGAAGCACCGGCUAACUACGUG
Molecule: ribosomal RNA, 468 nt
Filed under: uncultured bacterium
Lineage: Bacteria
Description: partial 16S ribosomal RNA
Rfam family: Bacterial small subunit ribosomal RNA
Source: RNAcentral